RNAcentral lists this long non-coding RNA (502 nucleotides) under Mus caroli (Ryukyu mouse). RNAcentral's name for it is "lncRNA (MGP_CAROLIEiJ_G0003714.1)". Lineage: Eukaryota; Metazoa; Chordata; Mammalia; Rodentia; Muridae. The record is from RNAcentral.
CAAUCUGUCCAUGUCUGUCACAUUAUGUCUAUGUUUUCAUUUUGUUGCUUGAUUGUUGCUCUGUGUUUCACGUUACAACAAAAACUGAUAGACUUUGGAGCCCUGCACCUGUAGCUAGGAAUAUAUCACAGCUGGAGAGGCCUUGCCAGGAGCUGAUUGCAGCUUCCAUGGAUGCUGAAGAAGUAUGGUAGCUGCCAGAGUGAUUGGUGAGAUGUGCUGAUGCUGGGACAAAAAAAAAAUGAUGCUGACUGUGAGCUUGCUGAGUAACCUGACAAUGGGGACAGGGAAGCUGUAUUGGUCCCGUGUUUCUGACCUACCACUGGUACAUCCAGCAGUGUGGUCCAAACUGGAGAUUCUCCUGCUUGGAGCUCCCUGGACAGAGAGCUUAUAAUAAGAUCAUGACUUUCAAUGCAUUUGGUGAUGGGAUUUCUGUUUGCUUUAUAAAGAACAGUACAAAUGAUGGGUGUGUUUCUGUGUUUCCUUAAAAUUAGAAUCUUAUUAA